UACGGAGGGAGCUAGCGUUGUUCGGAAUUACUGGGCGUAAAGCGCGCGUAGGCGGCUUUGUAAGUUAGAGGUGAAAGCCCGGGGCUCAACCCCGGAACUGCCUUUAAGACUGCAUCGCUUGAAUCCGGGAGAGGUGAGUGGAAUUCCGAGUGUAGAGGUGAAAUUCGUAGAUAUUCGGAAGAACACCAGUGGCGAAGGCGGUUCUCUGGGCCUUACCUGACGCUGAGGAGCGAAAGCGUGGGGAGCAAACAGG
This 253-nucleotide ribosomal RNA is filed under the name uncultured bacterium. RNAcentral describes it as "partial 16S ribosomal RNA". It matches the Rfam family "Bacterial small subunit ribosomal RNA", at positions 524 to 776 of the family's 1533-position model. The record is from RNAcentral.